RNAcentral lists this transfer RNA (56 nucleotides) under Punctodera chalcoensis. RNAcentral's name for it is "tRNA-Ile". Lineage: Eukaryota; Metazoa; Nematoda; Chromadorea; Rhabditida; Heteroderidae. The record is from RNAcentral.
UUAGUUUAUUAUAAAAAAAAAUAAAUUGUUUUGAUUUAACAAAAAUAAAACUGAAU